Molecule: ribosomal RNA, 300 nt
Filed under: uncultured bacterium
Lineage: Bacteria
Description: bacterial SSU rRNA
Rfam family: Bacterial small subunit ribosomal RNA
Source: RNAcentral
GUGAGAUCUGGGGCGCGAGCCGCGGUAAUACAGGGGUGGCAAGCGUGGUUCGGAAGUACUGGGCGGACAUGGAGCGGAGGCGGCACGUCAAGUCGCGGGGGACAGCCCCCGGCGCAACGGGGGAACGGCGCGGGAAACUAGCAGGCUUGAGUGCGGGAGAGGGAAGCGGAAUUCCGGGUGUAGCGGUGAAAUGCGCAGAUAUCCGGAGGAACACCGGUGGCGAAGGCGGCUUCCUGGACCGACACUGACGCUGAGGCGCGAAAGCUAGGGGAGCAAACGGGAUUAGAUACCCCUGUAGUC